UACGGAGGAUGCGAGCGUUAUCCGGAUUUAUUGGGUUUAAAGGGUGCGUAGGCGGAACAUUAAGUCAGCGGUAAAAUCGAGGGGCUCAACCCCUUUAAGCCGUUGAAACUGGUGAUCUUGAGUGGGCGAGAAGUAUGCGGAAUGCGUGGUGUAGCGGUGAAAUGCAUAGAUAUCACGCAGAACUCCGAUUGCGAAGGCAGCUCACUGGACUGCAACUGACACUGAGGCUCGAAAGUGUGGGUAUCAAACAGG
Molecule: ribosomal RNA, 252 nt
Filed under: uncultured Bacteroidales bacterium
Lineage: Bacteria; Pseudomonadati; Bacteroidota; Bacteroidia; Bacteroidales
Description: partial 16S ribosomal RNA
Rfam family: Bacterial small subunit ribosomal RNA
Source: RNAcentral